UACGGGGGGGAGCAAGCGUUGUUCGGAUUUACUGGGCGUAAAGGGCGCGUAGGCGGCCAGCACAAGUCAGUUGUGAAUCUCCGAGCUUAACUCGGAAAGGUCAACUGAUACUGUGCGGCUAGAGUGCGGAAGGGGCAACUGGAAUUCUUGGUGUAGCGGUGAAAUGCGUAGAUAUCAAGAGGAACACCUGCGGCGAAGGCGGGUUGCUGGGCCGACACUGACGCUGAGGCGCGAAAGCCAGGGGAGGCGAACGGG
Molecule: ribosomal RNA, 255 nt
Filed under: uncultured bacterium
Lineage: Bacteria
Description: partial 16S ribosomal RNA
Rfam family: Bacterial small subunit ribosomal RNA
Source: RNAcentral